GAUGAAGAACGCAGCGAAAUGCGAUAAGUAGUGUGAAUUGCAGAAUUCAGUGAAUCAUCGAAUCUUUGAACGCACAUUGCGGCCAUAGGUAUUCCUUUGGCCAUGCCUGUUCGAGCGUCAUUUACACCCUCAAGCCUAGCUUGGUGUUGGGCGUCUGUCCCGCCGUUCUCGCGCGCGGACUCGCCUCAAAGUCAUUGGCGGCGGUCGUGCCGGCCCCCUCGCGCAGCACAUUUGCGCUUCUCGGAGGCCCGGCGGAUCCGCGCUCCAGCAAGACCUUUCACGACUUGACCUCGGAUCAGGUAGGGAUACCCGCUGAACUUAAGCAUAUCAAUAGGCGGAGGA
Molecule: unclassified non-coding RNA, 342 nt
Filed under: soil metagenome
Description: partial contains 5.8S ribosomal RNA, internal transcribed spacer 2, and large subunit ribosomal RNA
Rfam family: 5.8S ribosomal RNA (bases 1-120)
Source: RNAcentral